Molecule: non-coding RNA, 93 nt
Organism: Mycena latifolia
Lineage: Eukaryota; Fungi; Basidiomycota; Agaricomycetes; Agaricales; Mycenaceae
Source: the annotation of a GenBank genome assembly
AGCUCGAUAGCGCAGAGGUAGUGUGCUCUGCACUGUUCACCCCAGUGUUUGACCAUUUCAGAGAGACCCGGAGUUUGAUUCUCCAUCGAGCCA